CCUACGGGAGGCAGCAGUGAGGAAUAUUGGUCAAUGGGCGGAAGCCUGACCCAGCCAAGUAGCGUGCAGGAUGACGGCCUUACGGGUUGUAACCUGCUUUUAUACGGGAAUAACGCGCCUUACGUGUAGGGCUUUGCAUGUACCGUAUGAUUAAGGACCGGCUAAUUCCGUGCCAGCAGCCGCGGUAAUACGGAAGGUCCGGGCGUUAGCCGGAUUUAUUGGGUUUAGAGGGAGCGUAGGCCGCAUGUCAAGCGUGCUGUGAAAUGUCCGGGCUCAACCCGGGCCUUGCCUCGCGAACUGGCGUGCUUGAGUCCGCGGAAAGCAGGCGGAAUUCGUGGUGUAGCGGUGAAAUGCUUAGAUAUGACGAAGAACCCCGAUUGCGAAGGCAGCUUGCUGCAGCGGAACUGACGCUGAUGCUCGAAAGCGCGGGUAGCGAACAGGAUUAGAUACCCCAGUAGUC
RNAcentral lists this ribosomal RNA (460 nucleotides) under uncultured bacterium. Its description in RNAcentral is "partial 16S ribosomal RNA". It matches the Rfam family "Bacterial small subunit ribosomal RNA", at positions 338 to 795 of the family's 1533-position model. The record is from RNAcentral.